This 468-nucleotide ribosomal RNA is filed under the name uncultured bacterium. RNAcentral describes it as "bacterial SSU rRNA". It matches the Rfam family "Bacterial small subunit ribosomal RNA", at positions 29 to 506 of the family's 1533-position model. The record is from RNAcentral.
AUGAACGCUGGCGGCGUGCUUAAUACAUGCAAGUCGAACGGGAAAUGCAGCAAUGUAUUUCUAGUGGCGAAUGGGUGCGUAACACGUGGGUGACGUGCCCCGAAGUGUGGAAUAACAGCUCGAAAGAGCUGCUAAUACCACAUGUGGUCUUGGUGCUUAGAAAGCCAAGUCUAAAGCAUCCCCUUCGGGGAAUGCGCUUCGGGAGCGGCCUGCGGUCCAUCAGCUAGUUGGUAGGGUAAUGGCCUACCAAGGCUACGACGGAUAGGGGACCUGAGAGGGUGGCCCCCCACACUGGCACUGACACACGGGCCAGACGCCUACGGGUGGCAGCAGUAAGGAAUAUUGCUCAAUGGGCGAAAGCCUGAAGCAGCAACGCCGCGUGCAUGAUGAAGGCCUUCGGGUCGUAAAAUGCUUUUCGGGGAGAUGAGGAAGGACAGUAUCCCCGGAAUAAGGUACGGCUAACUACGU